GGCAACGGAAUUUCCUUUUUCAUUUUUUCAUCUUUGUAAAAAUCGCUGGUAUCCGAUUAAAUCCAAAUUCUAUUCAUUUUUUCACCAAUUAUUUAUGGGUUCAUCCCGUUCUUGUCAGCCCACAGGCCCCACACCAUAUCCACUGAUGUUCGCCUCACCCCAUUUUUUGGUGGCAAAGAAUCUUAUAGCAGCUCAAAUUUAUCUGCUUCAGCACCAGCUUCUGCAGUGUCAAAAAAUGGAAGAUGGUUGUCUGCAAUCCCAGUUUGGCAAUACCUUUUUGUUGAAGAAUGAAUGGAGGAUAUCUCCAAAAUUUGAUCUUGUAAAAUGCAAUAGACAGCAAGGUCUCAGUUUGGUUGAUUUUUUGAAGGUACCAUUUGUUCCCCCCCAUUCUUUGAGUACGCUAAUUUCUUGAAGCUCUAAGAUUAAAUAGUGGCCAGCUAUGUUCACACCAAAUUUUUGCAUGAGUGCACAAUAUUAAUUGCCAUAUUUUAAUUGCAUGAAUAUUACAUUCUUAUUUUUAACCUUCCAUUAAUUAGCACAACUUAUUCUGGAUGACCUUUUUUGUCCAAAUAUUAUGUUAAGAGAAGGUAAAAGACUUAGUUGCCUCUCAUAUUUUUAUAUAAGAAAUUAAAACAAAUAUGUAAGUGCGUCUAAAUAACUGUUCCUUAUAUUGAAGCAUGCUAACAUUACAAAAACUAUUUGUCAGCAUGAGUAAUAUUCCGAGGUUAAAUGUAGUUUUUAAGUCUGUAAACAUGGGUCUGAAUGACUCUGUAGACACCAAAUUUAAGGUUUCUGAAUUGUAGAUUUUUCUCCUCUGUUCUAUUUUGAAGAAUUUCAAUCUUUCAAAUCCACUUCGAGUACACUUAUCUUCUGCUACAGUUGGUUUCUUUUGUGCUUCAUAUGCCAAUAUUUAGGCUCCUGACUCAAGUUGACUUAUAUGGCUGAUUAGAUUUUGAGAUUUAUGUCUAGUAUAGUCUCGAUAAAAUAUUGAUUCUUAAUAGUUGAUAGUGCUAGAGAUGCCUGGAGAGUGUAUUUCAGAAAUUAUGGAUGUAGUUCGUUUCUCGACUUGCAGCACGGUUUCAGUAAUUUGGCAGUUCAACUGAAGUUUGAAAGUCCAUCAAGUCACUUGAUUCAGUUCCGAUCACUGGUUAUCAGAUGCAGUGCUGGCCCUAGCCCAAGGCAAGUGAGGCCACUGCCUUGGUCCUCAUAUUGUAGGGGACCUCAUCUCUUUAAAAAAAAAAAAUAAUAAAUAAAUAAAUAAUUGGCACAUAAAAAGCAAAGAAGAGGUUCAAGGCAAUACUUGCCCAGUUUGUAGGUAUGAGAUGCCUAUAGAUGAUGUAGAAUACGAGAAGAGGAAGACUGAGAGGAGUGGUGCAGGAAUUACUUCUCGCUUUGCUGACGAUCUUCAGGCGAGGUACAAUUUUGAACUUCUGCCUUGAAAAGGUGUAUGUAUUAGUCUGGAGAAUAUGGCUAUAGUGGGAAUCUUUACCUUUUCAGUUAUCAUGUCAAUUUCCUUUUUGUAUUGUGAAAUGAUGAGAUAACAAAACUUGUAGAUCAAUAUUACAUUUAAGAUUAUGUGAAUUUGUCAUUGUGUAAACUCUAUUUUGCAACUCCAUGUGUAAUGGUUCAGUGAAAAAUUCAGAGAUGAAUGGAAGUUUUACAGUUUUUGGGACAUCCUGAGUUUCUGGUCACUUCACUAUUAUAUUCUUGAUGAAUAAAUCUACAUUUUUUCUCUCCUCUUGAUUUUAUUUGGUUGGGUAAGUAAGAAUCUGUCCAGAAAUAAUUUGUGUAAUGCAGACUUUCUGAUAUCUUCUUGAAUAUUUGUCCAGAAUCUCUCCUUUUUGACUUUAAAUAUUUACAUAUUGUUAGACUUACAAAAUAAAUUUUGUAUUGAGGGGCCCCAUAAUAAUUAAAUGCCUAGGGCCUCUAAAUUCUCAGGGUAGGCCCUGACCAGAUGCAAUCAUCCUCAAAAUUCAGAUUUUCCUCGCCAAAGGCCAAGAGAAGAGGUGCCCCUCCUUCAAAAAGAGGUUUGGUGGUUCAAAGGCUAAUUCCUGUUGCAUACAAGGUAUUUGAUGCAAGAGUAAAAUUGAUUAACAAUCUCAAGAAGCUCUUGAAAGUGAGUCCGCUUCAUGCUUGCUAGUUGGUUAUGAAGUUCAUGUUGAAACUGUUGGGGCAUCCUUUCAAGUCUUGUAGAGAAUCAGGCGCUUCAAUUCGUUAAGUAUUUCAUGAAUGGGGGGACGCAGCUGUUGAAGACCUAUUGGUACCAGUUGAGGCCUGCCACCUGUAUGAGCGUCUGGGGAAACGUAUACGUCACGACUCACGAGGAGAGAUUUUCUAUCCCAAGAAUUCCUGCAGUAGGGGAGCUCUGCAUUCAAGCAGGAGUUGACUUGCCUGAAUAUUCUACAAAAAGAAGACGAAAACCAAUCAUAUGCAUUGGAAAAAAGGAAUUUGCUGAUGCAGAUGAAUGUGAAUUACCAGAUCCUGACCCAGAUACUUCAAAGCCAUCAAUAUUAGCUCAAAUACCUGACACUGAAAUUUUACCCCAUGUAGCAAAGUAGAAACGGUGUUUCUUGUUGAGGAAACUUCAAGCUUGGGAAGAAAUGAGGGGUGGAGCCACCAGGAUGAUGAAGAUGUAUGCAAUUGAAGCCUGUGGAUAUUGUCCUGAAUAGCACGUGAGCCCCAGCGGACACAAAGCGCAGAACUGUGGGGCCCAUAAGCAUCAGCAGCGCUAUGGGUAACAUCAAUGGCAGGCAGCAGUUCUUGGUGACUUGAUUCCACCCGGAUAUGUUUGGCAUGUUCCUGAUAUCAACAAGCCACUGCAAAGGGAGCUCAGGAAGUUCUAUGGACAGGCCCCUGCUGUCGUAGAAAUAUGUGUGCAUGCCUGUGCUGGUGUUCCCAAGCAGUACAAACCAACAAUGAGGUUGGAUGUGGCGAUUCCUACAAAUAUUAGAGAAGUUUUUGGGUUUAAAGGCGUUUCUUCUUCUUCUUCUUCUUCAUCUUUCCCCUUUUGCUGAUUAGGUGUUUUGGGUGUAGUAAUCUCCAUUUUAUUGUAUUCAUCUCAUAAGGUGCCAUAGUCGGUUUGAAUAUGAUUAUACUGUUGUACUUAUCAUCAUGUAUCAAAAAACCAUUUCAAGUGAAAGUGCUGUUUGAUAGAAGAAAUGAUAUGGUUUUCCAGGUAACAAUCCUUGGCAAUGGCAGCUUCUACAUUCUCUUGGUUAA
Olea europaea var. sylvestris is the source of this 3219-nucleotide RNA transcript. RefSeq lists it as uncharacterized. Lineage: Eukaryota; Viridiplantae; Streptophyta; Magnoliopsida; Lamiales; Oleaceae. The record is from RefSeq and is a predicted model, not a curated record. The transcript is spliced from 3 exons.